UUUGUCCCGGUCUAAGCAACAAGCCGUUGACGGUGGCAGGCAAAUCCACCACCGGAGGUAAGUUGUUACAGCGAGUGGAGCUACGGCGAAGCGAAGCGGACGUAAUCACGGUGCCGGGAAAUACUGUCUAAGGCUAGGUUAUAGAAGACCGUACCGUAAUCCGACACAGGUAGGUGGGAUGAGAAAUCUAAGGCGCUCGAGAGAACUCGCGUUAAGGAACUCGGCAAAAUGCACACGUAACUUCGGAAGAAGUGUGGCCCCUGUUUGGUUAAAGAGUGGGGGUGGCACAGAGCAGGCCCAGGCGACUGUUUAUCAAAAACACAGCCAUCUGCGAAUCAGCAAUGAGACGUAUAGGUGGUGACACCUGCCCGGUGCUGGAAGGUUAAGAGGAGCGGUUCGAGGUAACUCAAAGCUGUGAAUCGAAGCCCCAGUAAACGGCGGCCGUAACUAUAACGGUCCUAAGGUAGCGAAAUUCCUUGUCGGGUAAGUUCCGACCCGCACGAAUGGUGUAACGAUUCUGGGCACUGUCUCAACGCGAGACUCGGUGAAAUUUAUAUACCGGUAAAGAAGCCGGUUACCCACAGUUAGACGGAAAGACCCCGUGAACCUUCACCGUAACUUAUUAUUGGAUCUUGGUGUAGCAUGUGUAGCAUAGGUGGGAGACUACGAGACGUGGCCGUUAGGUUGCGUGGAGUCGACCAGUGAAAUACCACCCUUGCUACAUCAGGUUUCUAACCUAAUCCGUGAAUCCGGGUUGGGGACAAUGAUAGGUGGGCGGUUUGACUGGGGCGGUCGCCUCCUAAAGAGUAACGGAGGUGCGCGAAGGUCUCCUCGCGCUGGUUGGAAAUCAGCGUACGAGUGUAAAGGCACAAGGAGGCUUGACUGCGAGACUGACAGGUCGAGCAGGUACGAAAGUAGGUCUUAGUGAUCUGGCGGUAGCGAGUGGAAGCGCCGUCACUUAACGGACAAAAGGUACUCCCGGAUAACAGGCUGAUUUUCCCCAAGAGUUCACAUCGACGGGGAAGUUUGGCACCUCGAUGUCGGCUCAUCGCAUCCUGGGGCUGAAGCAGGUCCCAAGGGUUUGGCUGUUCGCCAAUUAAAGCGGUACGUGAGCUGGGUUCAGAACGUCGCGAGACAGUUCGGUCCCUAUCUGCUGUGGGUGUUGGAUGAUUGAGAGGAGCUGCAUUUAGUACGAGAGGACCGAUGUGGACGAACCUCUGGUGUACCUGUUGUUCUGCCAAGAGCAAGUGCAGGGUAGCUAAGUUCGGAAGGGAUAACCGCUGAAGGCAUCUAAGUGGGAAGCCCACCUCAAGAUAAAUCAUCCCUGGGGGUUCGACCCCCCUAAAGACUCCAGAGAGACUAUCUGGUUGAUAGGCUGCAGGUCUACGCACGGUAACGUGUUCAGCCGAGCAGUACUAAUAGGUCGUGAGGCUUGACC
Molecule: ribosomal RNA, 1438 nt
Filed under: metagenome
Description: bacterial LSU rRNA
Rfam family: Bacterial large subunit ribosomal RNA
Source: RNAcentral